GGGCUUGACAUCCCACGAACCUGCCUGAAAGGGCGGGGUGCCCGCAAGGGAGCGUGGAGACAGGUGGUGCAUGGCUGUCGUCAGCUCGUGUCGUGAGAUGUUGGGUUAAGUCCCGCAACGAGCGCAACCCUCACCCCUAGUUGCCACCGGGUAAUGCCGAGCACUCGAGGGGAACUGCCAGCGUCAAGCUGGAGGAAGGCGGGGAUGACGUCAAGUCAUCAUGCCCCUUACGCCCUGGGCUACACACGUGCUGCAAUGGCCGGUACAAAGGGACGCGAGACUGCAAAGUGGAGCUAAUCCCAAAAAACUGGUCUAAGUUCAGAUUGCAGUCUGCAACUCGACUGCAUGAAGGAGGAAUCGCUAGUAAUCGCGCAUCAGCACGGCGCGGUGAAUACGUUCCCGGGCCCUGUACACACCGCCCGUCACACCACGAAAGCUGUCUGUACUCGAAGUCGCUGAG
This 460-nucleotide ribosomal RNA is filed under the name uncultured Methylomirabilota bacterium. RNAcentral describes it as "bacterial SSU rRNA". It matches the Rfam family "Bacterial small subunit ribosomal RNA", at positions 977 to 1434 of the family's 1533-position model. Lineage: Bacteria; Methylomirabilota (SeqCode). The record is from RNAcentral.